UUCUGUUGGUGACAUUUUAAUGGACCAACAGCUAAGAGGGAAUUAGGUGAGAAUCCUGAACAGUCGUGCUGCUGUAUGCGUGCAGCCAGAUUUUGUUAUCCAUUGCAUUAUGUGAGAAGGAAAAAUCUGGUGUUACUGCGUGAGUCAGAAUACCUGCUUAGAGCU
RNAcentral lists this non-coding RNA (165 nucleotides) under uncultured Blautia sp. The record is from RNAcentral. Lineage: Bacteria; Bacillati; Bacillota; Clostridia; Lachnospirales; Lachnospiraceae.